Molecule: ribosomal RNA, 1355 nt
Filed under: uncultured bacterium
Lineage: Bacteria
Description: bacterial SSU rRNA
Rfam family: Bacterial small subunit ribosomal RNA
Source: RNAcentral
AUUGAACGCUGGCGGCAGGCUUAACACAUGCAAGUCGAACGAUGAUUACCUAGCUUGCUAGAUAUGAUUAGUGGCGGACGGGUGAGUAACAUUUAGGAAUCUGCCUAGUAGUGGGGGAUAGCUCGGGGAAACUCGAAUUAAUACCGCAUACGACCUACGGGUGAAAGGGGGCGCAAGCUCUUGCUAUUAGAUGAGCCUAAAUCAGAUUAGCUAGUUGGUGGGGUAAAGGCCCACCAAGGCGACGAUCUGUAACUGGUCUGAGAGGAUGAUCAGUCACACCGGAACUGAGACACGGUCCGGACUCCUACGGGAGGCAGCAGUGGGGAAUAUUGGACAAUGGGGGCAACCCUGAUCCAGCCAUGCCGCGUGUGUGAAGAAGGCCUUUUGGUUGUAAAGCACUUUAAGCAGGGAGGAGAGGCUAAUGGUUAAUACCCAUUAGAUUAGACGUUACCUGCAGAAUAAGCACCGGCUAACUCUGUGCCAGCAGCCGCGGUAAUACAGAGGGUGCGAGCGUUAAUCGGAAUUACUGGGCGUAAAGCGAGUGUAGGUGGCUCAUUAAGUCACAUGUGAAAUCCCCGGGCUUAACCUGGGAACUGCAUGUGAUACUGGUGGUGCUAGAAUAUGUGAGAGGGAAGUAGAAUUCCAGGUGUAGCGGUGAAAUGCGUAGAGAUCUGGAGGAAUACCGAUGGCGAAGGCAGCUUCCUGGCAUAAUAUUGACACUGAGAUUCGAAAGCGUGGGUAGCAAACAGGAUUAGAUACCCUGGUAGUCCACGCCGUAAACGAUGUCUACUAGCCGUUGGGGUCCUUGAGACUUUAGUGGCGCAGUUAACGCGAUAAGUAGACCGCCUGGGGAGUACGGCCGCAAGGUUAAAACUCAAAUGAAUUGACGGGGGCCCGCACAAGCGGUGGAGCAUGUGGUUUAAUUCGAUGCAACGCGAAGAACCUUACCUGGUCUUGACAUAGUGAGAAUCCUGCAGAGAUGCGGGAGUGCCUUCGGGAAUUCACAUACAGGUGCUGCAUGGCUGUCGUCAGCUCGUGUCGUGAGAUGUUGGGUUAAGUCCCGCAACGAGCGCAACCCUUUUCCUUAUUUGCCAGCGGGUUAAGCCGGGAACUUUAAGGAUACUGCCAGUGACAAACUGGAGGAAGGCGGGGACGACGUCAAGUCAUCAUGGCCCUUACGACCAGGGCUACACACGUGCUACAAUGGUAGGUACAGAGGGUUGCUACACAGCGAUGUGAUGCUAAUCUCAAAAAGCCUAUCGUAGUCCGGAUUGGAGUCUGCAACUCGACUCCAUGAAGUCGGAAUCGCUAGUAAUCGCAGAUCAGAAUGCUGCGGUGAAUACGUUCCCGGGCCU